GAAAUGUUGGGUUAAGUCCCGCAACGAGCGCAACCCUUAUCCUUUGUUGCCAGCGGUUAGGCCGGGAACUCAAAGGAGACUGCCAGUGAUAAACUGGAGGAAGGUGGGGAUGACGUCAAGUCAUCAUGGCCCUUACGAGUAGGGCUACACACGUGCUACAAUGGCAUAUACAAAGAGAAGCGACCUCGCGAGAGCAAGCGGACCUCAUAAAGUAUGUUGUAGUCCGGAUUGGAGUCUGCAACUCGACUCCAUGAAGUCGGAAUCGCUAGUAAUCGUGGAUCAGAAUGCCACGGUGAAUACGUUCCCGGGCCUUGUACACACCGCCC
RNAcentral lists this ribosomal RNA (326 nucleotides) under uncultured Citrobacter sp. Its description in RNAcentral is "bacterial SSU rRNA". It matches the Rfam family "Bacterial small subunit ribosomal RNA", at positions 1069 to 1395 of the family's 1533-position model. The record is from RNAcentral. Lineage: Bacteria; Pseudomonadati; Pseudomonadota; Gammaproteobacteria; Enterobacterales; Enterobacteriaceae.